ACUGCCUACGGGACGCAGCAGUGGGGAAUAUUGCGCAAUGGGCGAAAGCCUGACGCAGCGACGCCGCGUGAGGGAUGAAGGUCUUCGGAUCGUAAACCUCUGUCAGCAGGGAAGAACGGUCACUGUGCUAAUCAGCAGUGAAUUGACGGUACCUGCAAAGGCAGCACCGGCUAACUCCGUUCCAGCAGCCGCGGUAAUACGGAUGGUGCGCGCGUUAAUCGGAAUUACUG
RNAcentral lists this ribosomal RNA (230 nucleotides) under uncultured bacterium. RNAcentral's name for it is "partial 16S ribosomal RNA". It matches the Rfam family "Bacterial small subunit ribosomal RNA", at positions 334 to 556 of the family's 1533-position model. The record is from RNAcentral.